RNAcentral lists this ribosomal RNA (433 nucleotides) under uncultured bacterium. Its description in RNAcentral is "partial 16S ribosomal RNA". It matches the Rfam family "Bacterial small subunit ribosomal RNA", at positions 29 to 507 of the family's 1533-position model. The record is from RNAcentral.
AACGAACGCUGGCGGCAUGCCUAACACAUGCAAGUCGAACGAGACCUUCGGGUCUAGUGGCGCACGGGUGCGUAACGCGUGGGAACCUGCCCUUAGGUUCGGAAUAACUCCCCGAAAGGGGUGCUAAUACCGGAUAAUGUCUUCGGACCAAAGAUUUAUCGCCUUUGGAUGGGCCCGCGUUGGAUUCGCUAGUUGGUAGGGUAAAAGCCUACCAAGGCGACGAUCCAUAGCUGGUCUGAGAGGAUGAUCAGCCACACUGGGACUGAGACACGGCCCAGACUCCUACGGGAGGCAGCAGUGGGGAGUAUUGGACAAUGGGCGAAAGCCUGAUCCGGCAAUGCCGCGUGAGUGAUGAAGGCCUUAGGGUUGUAAAGCUCUUUUACCCGGGAUGAUAAUGACAGUACCGGGAGAAUAAGCUCCGGCUAACUCCGUG